RNAcentral lists this long non-coding RNA (346 nucleotides) under Drosophila guanche. Lineage: Eukaryota; Metazoa; Arthropoda; Insecta; Diptera; Drosophilidae. The record is from RNAcentral.
UAUAUAUUCCCAUCAAUAUUUAUAAUUAGUUAACUAGUAAAAUGCAAAGACACUAUUACAAUUUAUUUAUUUAUGUUUUGGGCUCUUUUCCCGAAUUCAGAACUAACUUUAAACCAUAUUGAGCUUAAAAUAUCAAUGAUAUGAUGCUAGAGAGAGACAGACCAAAAAGAACUUUCAAGAAUGUAAGUUGAAAGCUUUUUUACAACAACUAGGAAAGGGACAGUUUUGUUUACAAGCCAAGUCGUUUCGUUACGCAGCGUUAAAAUCUCUCGAAUCAAAGCUCACAUACUGCAAAUAUGAUGCUGGUAACUGAAACAAAGGAAAGUAUACGAUUAUACCACAUCCC